UGGUUAUAUUUUUCUUUUGGACUAUACUUUUGUUGGAUAUUUAAGCAUGGAUGCGGUUUUAUUAGAGAGACCUACCAAUAAACAUGUCAGAUAGAGCAACGUUUCAGGAGGAAGCAAGCGAAGUAGAAAAUCUUCCAAUCGAUUUGGUAUGAACAGCAAUGAACAUGAACGUCCAGGAAACUCAAAUGGAGAAGCUUGUAUCAUGACAGAAAUAGAAAUAUGAACGCAAAUUUGGUAGACAAAAGGUAGUCAUCGAACAAAUCUACCAGAGAUUGAUGAUUUGGAUGAUAAAAUGAUCAUCAAGUGACCCAUAUAGAUUUGAUCAGGAAAACUAUAGCAUGCACAAAAAUUAUAAUACUGGCCGAUAUUUGUUAUAUUUACAAAAUAUCUUAAAGUUGUGUUAUAAUUUCAAAUUAUAUUUUUCUGGUUCUACUAUUUGCUAUAGUUUUCGUAAUUAUUUUUGUGCAUUAUGCAAACAAACCCUAGUAUAUGGGCCCAUACAUAAGUUUAUCGUAUAGGCAUUUAAAUUGGCCAUAUCAAUUGGAGCAUCAUAUUUUACAUGCAUAUUUAUUUUUGAGAAUCAACAUUCAUAAAAGAAAACAUAAAACUAGUUUUUACUGAAAAAAAGAAGGUAAAACUAGACAAGAAGUGGGAAAGCUCUCAAAGGAGAAGCCAUUUCAAGAGUGAGUCCAUACUUUUCAUCCAUAUUCAAAUCAUCAGGUCGAAAACCAUCUUCAAGCUUCCAAUCAAAGAAAUGAAGAAGCGAACCCAGCAUCAAAGGCAACAUUCUCAUAGCCAAUGACAAUUCAGGGCAAAUCCUUCUUCCACCACCAAAUGGAACCAACUCAAAAUCUCUGCCUUUAAUAUCAAUUUCCAUCUCUAAGAACCUCUCUGGCUCGAAUAUUUCAGGAUUUUUCCAUACGUUCGAAUCUCGACCCAUCGCCCAUAAAUUUACCGGCACUUGAGCGUCUUUAGGGAUUGUGAAACCUGAUAUUUCGACGUCUUGUAAUGCUUUACGAGGUAGUAGAAAAGGAGGGGAAUGACAUCUCAAAGUUUCUUUGAUCACUGCUUGUAAAUAAGGUAGCCUUGAAAUGUCUGAUUCUCUAAUUGGGUUUCAUUUUCCUAUUACACUUCGGAUUUAUUGUUGAGCUUUUGAUAGCUUUUGUGGGUUUUUAAAUAGUUCUGCCAUUGCCCAUUGGAAUGUUGCAGAACUUGUGUCGGUUCCAGCAAUGAAUAGUACCUAUAGAACAACAAUCAAAUCUUUAAUAAUAAAAAAAAAAAAAACAGAAUGCGCAGUUAUUAAAAUUCUGAUUGAAGUAAUUCAGAAAUAAUCUACUAGAAACUUAGGAAAUAAAUGUGUGUGAAUUAAUACAGAACAAUUAUUGCUAGGAUUAUAGAAAAAUACAACAUGAAUGCGUACUUGGUUAUUCACAUGUCCCUUCAUGUCAAUGUUUAAGUCUUCAUAGUACAUUAUUUAUUUUCCUUUCUAUGAUUUGUUUUUCUGUCCAACCACAGAAAAGGAAGAGAAAAUCAAAGGGCCAAUAAUUGAGUGAUGCAACUCAGUUCAACUAUCCAACAAAAAUAAUAAUUUUGGAAAAAGUAGAAGAAAUAUUAUUUGUUACAUGAAAACUAUGUGGUCGAAGGCUGAAAACUAAGAUAAUAGAUGCGAUUCAACAUCAACAAUGUAUUUUCUUCCACCAGUUGUCUAAUAAAAAUCUGUCCUGCACUAAAAUAAAUUUUUAAAAGAAAAAUGUUAAAAAUAGAAAAUUAACAAAUAUUUAUAUUCUAUGAGAAAUUCAAAUAAAAUAAAUUUUGUUUUUAGUGGUUUUUGUUAAGUAUGGAUAAAUAGUUUUUUUUUCUAUAUAAAAAUAAGUUUUUAUUGUUAUUAUUAUCGUCAUCGUGAAAAAUAGCAAAAAAGAAAAUUACGAAAAUAAAGUUCAUGUUAUUUACAUUUUUAAAAUUAUAAAAAUAAUAAAUUUAAAAUAGAUUAUCAUAUAAUUAUAGUGUCAAAUUUGCUGUAUGAAAAAAAAAAAAUUGUGGAAGAAUGAUUUUAAAUUUUCAAAAUGAUUUUAAAUAAUUUAUUUGAUUAGAUUGGAAAGGAAUGUAUUUAAAAUUUAUGUUUAUGGAUAGUAAUGGAAGAGGAAGAGAAAGAGAAAGUUAAUAAUUCACCGCCAUACAUUUUUAUCAUGGAAUAUGUUAAUGAAAAAUUUUAACAAUGAUAGUCAAUUAAUUAGGUAAUUUACUUUGAAAACCUAUGAAAUUUGGCAAAAUGGACCAUUUUGACCUCAAAAAGUUUUUAAGUAAAAAUAGGAUUUAAAAUCAUUCUAGAUUUGAAAAUCAUACUCUUUGGAUGCACUGCUCUCCUUUUUCACAAGCUAAAAUAUUAAGAAAAAAAAAAUAACACAUGGCAAAUUGUGGCCAAAGAGACUUAAUUGGGGGCAAAACUAUUUUUUAAACCCAAUUAGUGAAGUAAAAAUUGUGACUCUCUUAUUUUUGUACCUAAAUCCAACAAUCAUAGUUUAUAACAUGAUAAAUUUUUCUUACAUUUUCUAUUUUAAAAUAUUUUAAUUCAUAGUAAUUUAUCAUACUUACAAAUGUAUUGUGAAAAUUUAGUAUAUUUUUAAAUAUUGAUAUUUUUAAAAUUUUUAGUUUAUGUUGUUAACCUAAAUUUAAUUCUUAAAAGAACUGUUUAUAGGUUGUAAAUUAACAAUUCCAAACUUUAAAACGAAGAAUAAAUGCUUGAAACUAUGUUUCCCCCCUAAAAUGAUGUUAAAAGUUUGACUCUUAACAACAAAUUAAAAAUAAUGACAAUAAUAAAAGAAAAAGGAGUUGAAGUAGAUACCGCUAAUAAGUGUUCGAACUCAAUUCUCCCCAACUUGAUUUCGCUAUUUUCAUCACCAGGAUUGAGAAGAUAAUGCAAUAAAUCAUGUUUAAUCUUAUUAGAACCACAACUUUUUUUCUGCUCAUCAAUCCGUUCAUCAAUCAUCUGCUCCAACACAUCAAAAAUCCUAUCAAAAUGAACACUCUGUUUCUUCUUAAUCCCCUGCACAUCAAAUCUCUUCAACAAUGCAAAAUAAUCUCCAAAAUUCGGUUUCGCAGCUUCUUCCAUAGCCCCUCUUACAGCCACUUUAAACUCUCUCCCUAUUUUCGAAUUCGGGUCCACAAAAUCCUCCGAAAAAAUGGUAUUCCAAAGCAAAUUCACCGAAGUCACAAACGCCACUUUUCCAAAAUCCACUGUUUCAUUACCUUUCAAAGCACAUCUAGAUAUCUCUGUCACCAGCUCUGCCACUUGGCCUCGUCUGAGGUUCUCGUUGGCGUCGAGAAUCCGGGCAGCGAACAACUGGGUGUUGCAAAUUCGUCUGAGGUUUCGCCAGAGAGGUGAAACGGGCAUCCAUGGGAGGCCGAAAAGAUCGUGGUUGUGAGUGGUCAUGGAGUCAGGGACGGUUCUGGAGGAGAGAAAUUGGUCGUGGGUUUGGAGGACUUGUUUGGCCAUGGCGGAGGAGGAAAUGACGACGGUGGUGAUUUGGCCGAGUUUCAAGGUCAUGAUCGGGCCAUAGGAUUUGGCGAGAUUGGCUAGGGAUUGGUGGGGUUUAUCGCCGAGAGCAAGAAGGUUGCCGAUGAGUGGCAAUGGCUUUGGGCCGGGAGGGAGGUUGGUAAUUGGUCUUGUUUUUGAGAUCAUUGAAAUUAGCCAUGCAAUGGAAAGUAGAACAAUGAAGAUCCCCAACAAAUCCAUCUCUUACUACUCUUAUGAAUGGAAAUGAAGCAAUGUAAGCUUCAACUUUUGAUUAUAUAUGUAGGGAAAUUCUUUUUAACUUUUUAACAGGUAGAAUAAGUUUUGGAUUAGACAAAAUCACUUUUAUUUUCUUGUCAAAAUUUUUUUUUUUUUUUAAAGGAUACAUGUUUGACUUGUAAACGAUGCAUAAUUGUUAUUCACAUGGCUCCCAAAAUGGUUAUAAGUGACAAGUAUGGAAGGGUAUUUUUUUAUUAAAUUUAGGAGAAUAAAUACGUAAUAUAAACCGUAGGCAGGUAGAAGUUGUAGGAUUGAGAUGAUUUGUGUAUAAUCCUCCUCAAGGUAAUCUCAAUAUAACUUAAGUGAAAAUAUGCAAUACCUGUCUACAAAGUAGGAGGAUAAAGAAAUGUAUAUGAAUAUUAGAAAGUAAAAUGAUUUUCUCUUCCAUUGAUAUCUGAAUAUGAUGGAAAUUUGCCACCAUAAUUGUAUCUACUUUUUGAAACUUACUUACUUUAGUCACACAUGGAAAUAAAAUAAUAUAUAAUCUAAAAAGAAAAAAAAAAAGUGGAACCAUAACAAAAUAGCUACUCCUAUUUCUAAAACAAUAAAUACAACUUAAAAUGCAUUUAAAAUUGUGUGGAACGGAGAAAGGUCGAGAAGAAAAUUGUGGUUCAACCAUAAAAUGAAAUUAAAUGAUCUGACAAAAAUAUUUAUUAUCUUCUCUUUUGUCAUUUCAUUUUAUAUUUGUUACACAUUGAAUUUUCAACAACCAUAAUUGAAGUUACAUUGUAGAUUUCGAUUCAAUAAAUUAGUGAGAUGUAUAAAUAAUUUCUUUACCGGGUAGAUUUUAACCGUUGGAGCAAGUACGAUUAAUCGAAGAAUCGUGGCGGUUGCCAAGCUUGGAAGUGGGAAAGAAUAUGAAGGCGCAUCUCUUUACCAACCAAAUUACUUUCCUAAUUAAAGUUGUGUUAUAUUUUCAAAUUAUUUUAAUUCCGGUUCUACUAUUUGCUAUAGUUUUCCUAAUUACUUUUGUGCAUGAUGUAAACAGACCCUAGAAUAUGGCCCCUAGAUAAGUUUAUCAUAUAGUCUUUUGAGUGAAGCAUAUAUAUUUAUUUUUGAGAAUCAACAUUCAUAAAAGAAAACAUAAAACUAGUUUUUACUCAUGAAAAGGAAGGUAAAACUAGACAAGAAGUGGGAAAGCUCUCAAAGGAGAAGCCAUUGCAAGAGUGAUUCCAUACUUUUCAUCCAUAUUCAAAUCAUCAGGUCGACAACCAUCUUCAAGCUUCCAAUCAAAGAAAUGAAGAAGCGAACCCAACAUCAAAGGCAACAUUCUCAUAGCCAAUGGCAAUCCAGGGCAAAUCCUUCUUCCACCACCAAAUGGAACCAACUCAAAAUCUCUGCCUUUAAUGUCAAUGUCCAUCUCUAAGAAUCUCUCUGGCUCGAAUAUUUCAGGAUUUUUCCAUACGUUCGAAUCUCGACUCAUCGCCCAUAAAUUUACCAGCACUUGAGCGUCUUUAGGGAUUGUGAAACUUGAUAUUUCGACGUCUUGUAAUGCUUUACGAGGUAGUAGAAAAGGAGGGGAAUGAUAUCUUAAAGUUUCUUUAAUCACUGCUUGUAAAUAAGGUAGCCUUGAAAUGUCUGAUUCUUUAAUUGGGUUUCCUUUCCCUAUUACACUUCGGAUUUCUUGUUGAGCUUUUGAUAGUUUUUGUGGGUUUCUUAAU
RNAcentral lists this long non-coding RNA (5451 nucleotides) under Cucumis sativus (cucumber). RNAcentral describes it as "long non-coding RNA (CSAT_LNC001776)". The record is from RNAcentral. Lineage: Eukaryota; Viridiplantae; Streptophyta; Magnoliopsida; Cucurbitales; Cucurbitaceae.